AAUCAUCAAAAACCUUUUUCUUUUGACCUUCUUUGGUCGGGAAACGGAUUUUUGGACUUGGAGGUUCCAUGCUUGCUUUCAAGCCUUUGAAAGCGAGCUCCUCUCAAAUGAAUUAGUGGGGUCCGCUUUGCUGAUCCUUGACGUGAUAAAGAUGCUUCUACGUUUUGGAUUUAGCACUGUCCCUUUGGACGCCUGCUCCCAACUGUCCCUUGGACGAUGAUGGUGCUCCGGUCGCCGCCAUUUACAUUGGCGUAGAGGCUGGACCCACGAGAAAAAA
This 277-nucleotide unclassified non-coding RNA is filed under the name uncultured Russula. Its description in RNAcentral is "sequence contains ITS2". Lineage: Eukaryota; Fungi; Basidiomycota; Agaricomycetes; Russulales; Russulaceae. The record is from RNAcentral.